RNAcentral lists this ribosomal RNA (253 nucleotides) under uncultured bacterium. Its description in RNAcentral is "partial 16S ribosomal RNA". It matches the Rfam family "Bacterial small subunit ribosomal RNA", at positions 524 to 776 of the family's 1533-position model. The record is from RNAcentral.
UACGGGGGGGGUAAGCGUUGUUCGGAAUUACUGGGCGUAAAGGGCUCGUAGGCGGCCAACUAAGUCAGACGUGAAAUCCCUCAGCUUAACUGGGGAACUGCGUCUGAUACUGGAUGGCUUGGAUCCGGGAGAGGGAUGCGGAAUUCCAGGUGUAGCGGUGAAAUGCGUAGAUAUCUGGAGGAACACCGGUGGCGAAGGCGGCAUCCUGGACCGGUAUUGACGCUGAGGAGCGAAAGCGUGGGGAGCAAACAGG